Non-coding RNA from Malus domestica (apple), 2186 nucleotides. The record is from RefSeq and is a predicted model, not a curated record. NCBI's taxonomy places the organism in Eukaryota, Viridiplantae, Streptophyta, Magnoliopsida, Rosales, Rosaceae.
ACGGGCCUUACUGUUUUGGACUUAUAUGGGUGUCAAGAACUCAAGAGCUUGCCGAGCAGCAUUCGUAUGGGAUCUCUUCAUACCCUUUUUCUUUCAGGCUGCUCAAAACUUGAGAAGUUUCCAGAGAUUUCAGAUGUUAUGGAGAAGCUAUCAAAGCUUUAUUUAGAUGGGACUGCAAUUAAAGAACUGCCUUCGUCAAUUAAUCAACUCAGGGGCCUUACUGUUUUGGACCUAUCUGGGUGUCUAGAACUCAAGAGCCUGCCCUGCAGCAUUCAUAUGGGAUCUCUUCAAACCCUUAAUCUUUCUGGUUGCUCAAAAUUUGAGAAGUUUCCAAAUAUUUCAGAUGUUAUGGAGAAGCUAUCACAACUUUAUUUAGGUGGGACUACCAUUAAAGAACUGACUUUGUCAAUUAAUAAACUCACGGGCCUUACUGUUUUGGAUCUAUCUGGGUGUCAAGAACUCAAGAGCCUGCCGAGCAGCAUUCGUAUGGGAUCUCUGCAAACCCUUAUUCUUUCAGGCUGCUCAAAAUUUGAGAGGUUUCCAGAGAUUUCAGGAAUGGAGAUGCUAUCAGAGCUUCAUUUAGAUGGGACUGCAAUCAAAGAACUGCCUUCAUCAAUUAAUAAACUCACGGGCCUUCGUCAUUUAGAUGGAGUCCAAUCACGUGAUUCUUGGGUACCAGGGCAGCAGCAUCGCAUCAGAAGGUGUGGAGUUCGUCUCUUUUAUGCCAAUAGUGAAGAGAUGCAUAACCAAAGCAUGACACAGCCUGACUAUCCAUCAUGAAAAUUCUGAAGCGGAAUUUCGUGCUUUUGGCAGAUCACUGGUAAGAGUUGCUCAUUCUAAGAGGAACCGUGAGGGGUGUUGCUAUAAUGCGGCUGAACAAAGUUGAGGUCAGGCCCGGCCCAGGCGCAGUGCAACAGGGGCAAUUGUCCAGGGCCCAAAGUUGAAUGGGGCACCCAAAAAACAAAAUCCAAAUAAUUAGGUAUAAAAAAAAAUUUGUCCAAAGCCCAAAAUAAAGGCUGUAGGCGAUAACUUGUCCAGGUUUUGGGGAUUAAAAAUCAAUAUAACAUAAAGGGUAUCUGAAGGGGACAAGUCGUCCAGGUUUUGGGCAUGGAGGAGAGGCAUAAGAUUCAAGUUUUUCAAAGGGAGCUCCCUCUCUGCUUGGAGCUUGUCACUCAACUGCCCAAGCCCAAGCUAUUGAGAGGUGCAAGCAGCAGAUUUCAGAUGCAACCGCAAAUUACCUGCAUGGACAAUCUAAGUGUUCUGAGCAGACUUCAAGUGAGGGGCAUGUUUUUGAGGAAUUCAUUCCAUUAACACGGAUUUCAUACAACUCCAGAUGCACCACUCGAAGAGGGUAAUGGCAGGAGGAGCAAGUUAAAGGCUAUAGUGAUGGAGAUGAAGAGAAAUGGGGUGCUUUUCAGCCUUUCCAAAGGAAAAAAAAAGCAUUGGAAAGACAAAUGGACCGGUGGCUAAAGAACCUUCUUCGGCUCCGGCUACUAGUUCCACCACGGACACCGUGAGUGGAGACAGUGGUGGGAACAACAAGAACAAAGAGAAAGAUGGACAGGGAAACGAAGGCGAAACUGGUCACCGGAGUUGCACCGCCGGUUCUUGCAUGCUCUUCUCUUCAACAACUUGGUGGUUCACAUGGGCACAUUUUGAACUUUCGCACUGGGCAUCAAAAAACUCAGGACCGGCCCUGGUUGAGGUGAAACCCCCGACGUGGAGGAUUUAUAUCCUAAAAGAUUGGUACUUCCUGAUGGGGCAAAGGAAAACUGAAGAGAAUAAUUCCUGUGUGUUGGAUUUGACUGCUCAGUUCUGUUGGGUCUCGACCCUUUCUUACGCGGACCUAAAACCAAACUGUUGUGGCUCUUUAGUUGGCAUGUGCGGAUCACAUGCUAGGUCUUUUUAGCGCUCAUAAUAUAAAGCCUCACAUUGUGCAAUUUGGACGAGAGGUUGAACCGAAGCAGCUGCACUAGUAUGACGGGAAGAGGAGCCGAAACCCAAUAGAAGAGAGAAAUAAUUCGGAGCUGCUGCAUUUUUAUUUUUUUUUUGGUAAGAGUGAAACCAGUUAGAGAUUGUUGUAGUUGCAGAGAGACAAAUAUUUUGUUUCUAAUUCGUUUAUUCGCUCAUCUAUUUGUGUGUAUUUGAGUGUAUUUUGGGUUUGAGUUUGAGAGCUUUCUUUGUAA